Molecule: ribosomal RNA, 555 nt
Filed under: uncultured bacterium
Lineage: Bacteria
Description: partial 16S ribosomal RNA
Rfam family: Bacterial small subunit ribosomal RNA
Source: RNAcentral
UGGGGAAUUUUGGACAAUGGGGGAAACCCUGAUCCAGCCAUCCCGCGUGUGCGAUGAAGGCCUUCGGGUUGUAAAGCACUUUUGGCAGGAAAGAAACGUCGCGGGUUAAUACCCCGCGAAACUGACGGUACCUGCAGAAUAAGCACCGGCUAACUACGUGCCAGCAGCCGCGGUAAUACGUAGGGUGCAAGCGUUAAUCGGAAUUACUGGGCGUAAAGCGUGCGCAGGCGGUUCGGAAAGAAAGAUGUGAAAUCCCAGAGCUUAACUUUGGAACUGCAUUUUUAACUACCGGGCUAGAGUGUGUCAGAGGGAGGUGGAAUUCCGCGUGUAGCAGUGAAAUGCGUAGAUAUGCGGAGGAACACCGAUGGCGAAGGCAGCCUCCUGGGAUAACACUGACGCUCAUGCACGAAAGCGUGGGGAGCAAACAGGAUUAGAUACCCUGGUAGUCCACGCCCUAAACGAUGNCAACUAGCUGUUGGGGCCUUCGGGCCUUGGUAGCGCAGCUAACGCGUGAAGUUGACCGCCUGGGGAGUACGGUCGCAAGAUUAAAAACUC